This 506-nucleotide ribosomal RNA is filed under the name uncultured bacterium. RNAcentral describes it as "partial 16S ribosomal RNA". It matches the Rfam family "Bacterial small subunit ribosomal RNA", at positions 899 to 1397 of the family's 1533-position model. The record is from RNAcentral.
ACUCAAAGGAAUAGACGGGGGCCCGCACAAGCGGUGGAGUAUGUGGCUUAAUUCGAUGCAACGCGAAGAACCUUACCUGGGCUUGACAUGCAUCGCUAAGUCGGUGAAAGCCGGCGAUUCCCGCAAGGGAAACUUUGCACAGGUGCUGCAUGGCUGUCGUCAGCUCGUGUCGUGAGAUGUUGGGUUAAGUCCCGCAACGAGCGCAACCCUCGUGGCCUGUUGCUUCUGCUCCGCAAGGAGCAAGCACUUUGGUCAGACUGCCCUGUGAAACGGGGAGGAAGGUGGGGAUGACGUCAAGUCAGCAUGGCCCUUACGUCCAGGGCUGCACACGUACUACAAUGCCCAGCACAGAACGAGCCGAAGCCGCGAGGCGGAGGAAAUCACCAAAACUGGGCACAGUUCGGAUCGCAGGCUGCAACUCGCCUGCGUGAAGCUGGAAUCGCUAGUAAUGCCGUAUCAGCUACGACGGCGUGAAUACGUUCCCGGGCCUUGUACACACCGCCCGU